CUAAUUGAUGUGGAUAGUCUCCACUGAGGGCUUUGUUUUCAAUGCUAUUUCAUUCCUUCUUAAAAUGUAUUAUUCAUUUGUAAACUGCUGGUUUCUUUGGGACAUUGUCCCCAUAAACUUUUCAUAAAGUGUGAACGAUUUCAUCAUUCCUCCACCCAAGAUUCAUCAUAAAUUUGAUGUUUGUUCUUGCUGCAAUAUUAGUAGAAUUCCUGUUGCUCUGAUAGGGCUCAAUUGAAAAUGAUGUCUUAUCCUUUUUAGUGACUCAAACUAGAUACCGUUCUGACAUGUUAUAAAAAGUUAGUAUGAGUUUAUUUUGGUGCAAAAAAAUUGAGCUCCAUUUAUAGUUUUUAAAAUAAUAUGCAUUUUCCAUAAACUUUUUGAAGACUCAGUUUUACCUUUAUGUGACACUGGCUAUAAUUUGUUGCAAUUGGUUUCUUACUUGCCUGUCUCUCUGGCUACAUUGUAAAUUCCUUAAAGGCAUGCUCCAUGUAGGUCUAGCUCAUCACUGUAUCCCCUGAGAUUAGCACAAUGCCUGGCACAUAACAGGAGUUCAAUAAUCAUUUCUUGAAUAUUUAAAUAAUGUUAUAUAAAAACAUCAAAGAUUGUAAAUUACCCCAUUCUCAAAGUAAGACCCCCAAAAAUUCAUGCUCUUUUUUUUCAUAGAUCACUAAGUGAGAAGGCAAACUGAAGACGGAGCUUUGCUUUAUUCAAGACAUUGGGAACCAAAAGAAAGUAAAAGGCAGAUUUUCCUCCAUCUCUUUUUCAGAAAUUCUGAUGCCCUAUUUAUUAACUGGGAUGCUUGUACUCCUAGGGAAGCGAUAAUAUGGUGAGGAGACAAUCAUAGAUGAGGUGGGAGGGCUUCUGGAGCCCGUUUCUAAAUGCUUUGUGCCUGCAGAAAAAGGAGAGCAUUGAGAACUUUUUUCUAAAUGGAACAAAGGGUGUGACUGGCACACCAUUUAGCCUCGUUUACCAACUCUUCAAACACUAAAAUUCUUGCCUGGCAGGAGAUAGGUUCUCUAGAAGCUUAGGAACCUUUGAAAGCAGGGAUUGAGGACAAUGUCUGGACUAACGUUGGCCAUUAUAAAACUUGUCUUCCACGUGACACAUCUAUCAAAACCAAGCAUUGUCUGUCUUCAGUAGAAGAUGCAUUGUUGGAGGUGACAUGGGUUCGCAGUGCCAGCAUAAGCAUUUUUACCUAAACAGCUUAUCUCAUGCUCUUUUCCGUACUCACUGUGGUUUAAUUUCCUCUGUAUCAAUCUCUUCAUCCAUAAGAUGGAGAGUUUGGCUGAUAGCAACUCCAGUCAUUAAAUAGAGAUGAAGUUCUACAUGAGACCUUCUAUUAUUCUCUUACCUCUUUUCCAUUUUCCUUUGAAUAACUUGUCACGGUUUGUGUUUAUAAGCUUGUUUGCUUUACUUGUUUACUCUCUGCUCCAUUCCGCAUUUUAGCCCCUUCCUCUCCUCGUCCCCCACCUUCAUCUCCACCCACCAUUGUAAGGUCCAUGAGGGCAGGGACUGUGUCUAUUUUGAUCUUCUAUCCCCAGAGCCUAGCAUGAUGCCUGGCACAUAGUAGAGGCUCAAUAAAUGCUUGUUGGAAAAGUGGCUGGUUGAAUGAACACCAUAAUGAGGAAAGUCAUGCAGUGGCUCCCUGGCUUUUUGCAUACAUUACUGAGGCUCUCCAGAGAGUCUUGCUGGGGUUACUGAUUUAUUGUAACAGAGGAACAAGAAGAAUAAGAAGGCCUCUUAACAGAUGUCACGUAGGACACGAACAUUGCUCUGAUAGGCCAGCUGUCAUUCCACUGAUUUUAUGUCAGUUGCUCUCUCUUUUGUGUUGUGUCACACAUCAGCCCCAACUAAAAGGAAAGGCUACAGGCUGGGAUUUGAAAGAUAAUUUAAUGAAGGGAUUAUUUAUAGAGGUGUGGGCAAGAGCAGAAGAACCAGAUGGGUUGCUGAAGCACGCGGGGACUAGCAAUAGUGAGAAGCUGUUGUUACUCUUGGGCCUGACAGGAAAUGCUGGAGCCUGGGAGAAUGGAGGUGUGGACAGGGCCAUGGAUGGGAGCCAUAGUUAAAGAGGGCUGCCAUCACCAUUGGAAGCGCAUUGUCAGGCAAAGAGGGAAUAGGAAGAAAUACUGUAAACUCUCCUCCUGCUCUUUCAUCUCCUGCAUGGUCUCCAAUUGGCACUGCCCAAUGGGAAAAGGGAUCUCAGGUGAUACAGGUAUAGGGCAUAGAGGUCAGCCUUCUGGGGCACUGGAAGGCAGGAGAAAAGCCAGCAUGUGCCAUUACUAUUAGUGAUUUUCUCUUUGCAGAGAGAGGCACUUGUGAUCAAGUUCAUGCUGCUCACACAUACUCCAGUCGAGCAGGCACCUGCUGUUCCUUGACUUCAGUUUACAGCAUCUCUCUGUUUUCUUGCUUCUCUGCCACUCUCCUUUCUACUGUUCUUUAUAGGUCUUGCAUUCAAACUCUUCCAGAGAAAAUCUGAUGGUGUCACCCUCUGAUAUUGGACAGGGUACACAUAAGCAGCCUGUGAAAACUACCUUUAGGUGGGGCACCUGUCUUUGGUCCAGUUAGCUACAAAGCAGGCUGGACUUGCCCGUGACAAAGACUCUCUCAAAAAGGGUGAUAGGAGACGAACUCCUCAGAGGAAACAGUCUGAUUGGAAGCCACCUUGCAUGGCUUGUCUGGUACAUGGUCAUCCUCACUUCCACUCCAGUGGUGACCAUCCUCCCAUAUGAAGGAUAAUAAUAUCAAUACUAGGCUGCUGGAAGGGACUAGCUAAUGCUUACUAUUAGAGUAAGCAGGACAAGUUGCCCCUGUUUUUUUCUGUUUUUUUUUGUUUGUUUGUUUGUUUUUUGUUUUUUGUUUUGUUUUUUUGAGACACAGACUCCCUCUGUUGCCCAGGCUGGAGUGCAGCGGUGUGAUCUCGGCUCACUGCAACCUCCGCCUCCCUAGUUCAAGUGAUUCUCCUGCCUCAGCCUCCCGAGUAACUGAGACUACAGGAGCCCGCCACCAUGCCUGGCUAAUUUUUUUGUAUUUUUAGUAGAGACGGGGUUUCAUCAUGUUAGCCAGGAUGGUCUCGAUCUCCUGACCUUGCGAUCCGCCCGCCUCGGCCUCCCAAAGUGCUGGGAUUACAGGCGUGAGCUACGGCGCCCAGCCGACAAGUUGCCCCUGUUAAUUAGAUUCACCAAAUGUGCCCAGCACUGGUGCGUCUUCUUAACGUGAUGCCUCUUCAGCUCUCUCCCCUGCUCCAGGAGUGACUGGGAUAUCUGUCAUGCCCCCAGAUAUUGUGUUCAGGGUCUGGUUCAUGAGCUGGUUUUCUUCUGCUUCUAAUCACAAUAGCCAUAGUCAUUUGUAUUCAUAGAAAGUAAAUGCCUCUGUCAAUGAGGUUCCUGAUAAGAGGAACGGGGAAUAAUGCCUUUUUAGUCCUAAUCAGCCCUGUAAAACCUCCUGCAAAUAGGAAAGGAUUGUUUUCUGGCAUUUUAGAUUAUGCUAAAAGUUGAGUUUUAAAAAAUGAUAGCAACUGGUUGUUGGUAAAGUUCUAGGAUGGCAGCCUUGGUGGGUGGCAGGGAUGCUUUUCUCUUCGAGUGCCUGUUCUCCCUGGAUGGGGAGUCUCUUUUUUGCCACCUGCUUCAAGAGCAGUGAGUGCGGCAACCCCAGAGUACUUACUGUGCCAUUGCAAACCAUUUCUCAAUGCCAGAACCCCCCAACAAUGUUUGGUUCUCUGUACACACUCUUUGCUUCCCGCUCCAGAACACACUUCCCCUUUGCCUUCAUCUUGCAAAAUUCUCAUCUUUCCAGUCCCAGCUCAAAUGCCCCUUCUCAUGAGGUGGUGCUUAGGGAAGGAGGCUCUGCAGUCAGCCACUUGCAUGUCAUAUCUAGUCCACCACUCAUCAGCUGGCUCUUAACUUCUUCAUCUUUAAAUAUGAGAUGGUAAUUGGAUGAAGCUGUAUGUCACAGUGGGUAAGCAUGUGAAUGUUAGAGCCAGAUUGUUAAGUUUCAAAUGCUGGCUCAACCACCUACUUGCUAUGUGACCUUGGGAAAGCUAAUGAACCUCUCAAUGCCUCAGUUUCUCCAUUUAUAAAAUGGGGGUAGUAAGAUGUAUACAAAUUUGUUGUGAGAAUUAAAUAAGUUAAUGAAUGUUAUACUUUAUUAUUCUCUAUCUCACUGAGUUGUAAGAAUUAGUUAGGUAGAACACGUAAUCAUCUGGGAUUAUGCUUGCCCCAAACUCAGCUCUUCCUAUGUAAUUGGGGUAGUUCUUAUGUUCUGUUGCAUUUUAUUUGUUAUUGCCCAACAUGCCAGAGAGGGGUUGUGCCUCCUCUGUGUUCUCCUAGUAUAUUGAUUAUACCUCUAAUAGUAUUUUUCAUACUGAAUUAUCAUUGUUUGGAUUCUGUUUUCUCUAUUGGACUGUGAUCUCUUCACAGGCAAGAAUAGAUCAUUAGUAAAUAUUUGAUAUUCAUUAAAAUGAAAAGUUGCCAUAGCACAGAAAGGUUUUUGGCCUCAAGAUUGGUGUUGAAUAACUUGUCUGUGAAGUUCUUGGUGCAGCGAGAGGCCAGCAGCAGACGGGUUAAGACUCUUCCAGUGCAUCUGCCUCUCCUCAUUGUCUCAUAUGGGUUACCAAGUGCAGUCAGAACAUGAGUUCUAGUUCCGAGAAUGGGUGUCACCUAUUCUCUAGACAAGCUAUAUACAGUGUUGGAAAUGAAUGAUGUUAAGUGAGACUUGGAUUCUCUCCUUUUCACUUCACUUUAAAUAAAGUGUUUGCUUGGUUUCAAAGUAGGUUUCAUACCCUUGACUCCAAAUGGAAUUCUACCACCAUGAAGAACUGUUUCCUCUGAGAAAAAGAUGAGUCAUUCAGGUGAUGGCUAACCAAAAUCCUGGGGAAAAAAGAAAAAGAAAAGAAAUCAUAAUUUACCACUUACUGGUUUUGGUUUUCCUUAUGCAAUCAGACAUAUACCUUUUUCUAAUUUGAAGCCAUUUGGCUUGUGCUUGUGAGAUAUUAAUGACUGUAAAAUAGCUGAUAUCAAACAAUCUUAUUUUCGAAAUUGCUGUAGUUAAGACUGAUGGUGCUUUUAGUUAAUACCCCAUGUCAGCCUGUCAUCCCUACUCCCCCAUAAACAUUUUUGCAGGUGCCUACAUAUGACAAAUGUACCACAAAAUACCCAAUAUGAGUCCUUGUUUGUCAUAUUAGUUGGAAAGAUGCACAGAAGUUAUUUUUGGAAUCUUGUUCAUAAGUUUGUUAUGCAUGAGAAGAAUCAUAAACACUAGUUUAUAUACAUAUAGUGAAUGAAUGAAUGUUAUAUUAGAUUUCUGAUUCAAAGUAGUCUGUGUCAGGGGUCCCGGGCUGGUACUGGUACUGGUUCAUGGCCUGUUAGGAACCAGGUUGCCCAGGAAGAGGUGAGCAGCAGGUGAACCAGCAUUACCACCUGAGCUCUGCCUCCUGUCAGAUCCGCAGUGGCCUUGGAUUCUCAUAGGAGCGUGAGCUCUAUUGUGAACUUGCAUGCGAGGGAUCUAGGUUGAAUGCUCCUUAUGAGAAUCUAAUGCUUGAUGAUCUGAUUAUCUGAGGUGGAACAGUUUCAUCCCGAAACCAUGUCCUCCCACCCUGGUCCAUGGAAAAAUUGUCUUCCAGGAAACAAGUGCCUGGUGUCAUAAAGGUUGGGGACCACUGGUCUAUGAUAGAGAAACAUAGACUACUUUUGUUGUUUAAAAUGUCUUAUAGCCUAGACUGCAGAGGGAAAUUUAUCUGAUGAAAUGUCUCCAUUACAUUUGUUAUUAUUUCAGGUUAGAUUAAAAUCUUAGCUGUGUU
Molecule: long non-coding RNA, 5794 nt
Filed under: Homo sapiens (human)
Lineage: Eukaryota; Metazoa; Chordata; Mammalia; Primates; Hominidae
Description: HSALNT0348807
Source: RNAcentral